This 786-nucleotide ribosomal RNA is filed under the name Triticum aestivum (bread wheat). RNAcentral describes it as "partial small subunit ribosomal RNA". Lineage: Eukaryota; Viridiplantae; Streptophyta; Magnoliopsida; Poales; Poaceae. The record is from RNAcentral.
AUGGAGGAUGUGGCCAAGUUCUUGUUUGGGAUUUCAGGCAAUGUCAUUGCUCUGUUUCUCUUCCUAUCCCCGGUGCCUACUUUCUGGAGGAUCAUUCGUAACAAAUCCACAGAGGAAUUCUCCGGGGUGCCAUACAACAUGACGCUCCUCAACUGCCUCCUCUCCGCCUGGUACGGGCUGCCCUUCGUGUCCCCGAACAACGUCUUGGUGUCGACGAUCAACGGCGUGGGCGCGGUGAUCGAGACGGUGUACGUGGUGAUCUUCCUCGUCUUCGCGUCGAACAAGAAGGCGAGGCUCCGGACGCUCGGCCUGGCGUCGGCCGUCGCGGCGGUGUUCGCGGUCGUGGCGCUCGUCUCCAUGCUCGCCCUGCACGGCCCAGCACGCAAGCUCCUCGCCGGCCUGGCCAUGACCGUCUUCUCCAUCUGCAUGUACGCCUCGCCCCUCUCCAUCAUGAGGAUGGUGAUCAAGACGAAGAGCGUGGAGUACAUGCCGUUCCUGCUGUCGCUGGCGGUGUUCCUGUGCGGCACGUCGUGGUUCAUCUACGGCUUGCUCGGCCACGACCUCUUCGUCACGAUCCCCAACGGGUGCGGGAGCGUCCUGGGCGCCGCGCAGCUCAUUCUGUACGCCAUCUACCGGAACAACAAGGGCAACGCGGCCGGCGCCGGCAAGCUACAGGGCAACGACGUGGAGAUGUCCGCCGACGGCAGGAACAGCAAGGUCGCCGAUGGCGACGACCGCGGUGCGGCGGGGUUGACGAAGGCCGGCAAGAUGGCCAGCCAGGUUUAG